Molecule: long non-coding RNA, 368 nt
Organism: Tupaia belangeri chinensis (Chinese tree shrew)
Lineage: Eukaryota; Metazoa; Chordata; Mammalia; Scandentia; Tupaiidae
Exons: 3
Source: RefSeq, a predicted model, not a curated record
GCUUUUGGUGGUUCACAAGGGGACCUUAAAGAUGACAAGAAGAGUGAAAGAAAGCAGAUGGAAUUAAUGUACUAGUAAUCAAAACUGGACUCAUAAUUGUCCUCGUGCCAUGAAACCACAUGGCCAUGGCCAAGACACUAAUUCGACACUGAACACCCAGAUCCUGAUUCCAGAAAACUGAAUCCAAGCCCAUGAGCUUCCUACAGCCUAGAAGGUCUGCUGAUGAACAGUGAGCUGCAGCUUAACUGGGAAGCUAACUGCCGUGUUUUGAGCCACCCUAUGGAGAGGUCAACAUGACAAGGAACUGAGAGAGAAAGAGGAAAAUGAGGCCCUCAGUACAGUGAAAACUAGAAUCCUACCAACAACCA